RNAcentral lists this ribosomal RNA (465 nucleotides) under Vreelandella stevensii. Its description in RNAcentral is "partial 16S ribosomal RNA". It matches the Rfam family "Bacterial small subunit ribosomal RNA", at positions 338 to 795 of the family's 1533-position model. Lineage: Bacteria; Pseudomonadati; Pseudomonadota; Gammaproteobacteria; Oceanospirillales; Halomonadaceae. The record is from RNAcentral.
CCUACGGGGGGCUGCAGUGGGGAAUAUUGGACAAUGAGGGCAACCCUGAUCCAGCCAUGCCGCGUGUGUGAAGAAGGCCCUCGGGUUGUAAAGCACUUUCAGUGAGGAAGAACGCCUGGUGGUUAAUACCCAUCAGGAAAGACAUCACUCACAGAAGAAGCACCGGCUAACUCCGUGCCAGCAGCCGCGGUAAUACGGAGGGUGCGAGCGUUAAUCGGAAUUACUGGGCGUAAAGCGCGCGUAGGUGGCUUGAUAAGCCGGUUGUGAAAGCCCCGGGCUCAACCUGGGAACGGCAUCCGGAACUGUCAAGCUAGAGUGCAGGAGAGGAAGGUAGAAUUCCCGGUGUAGCGGUGAAAUGCGUAGAGAUCGGGAGGAAUACCAGUGGCGAAGGCGGCCUUCUGGACUGACACUGACACUGAGGUGCGAAAGCGUGGGUAGCAAACAGGAUUAGAUACCCCGGUAGUC